This 304-nucleotide unclassified non-coding RNA is filed under the name fungal sp. RNAcentral describes it as "partial internal transcribed spacer region". The stretch from base 1 to 46 matches the Rfam family "Eukaryotic small subunit ribosomal RNA", at positions 1786 to 1831 of the family's 1831-position model. The record is from RNAcentral. Lineage: Eukaryota; Fungi.
AAGUCGUAACAAGGUUUCCGUAGGUGAACCUGCGGAAGGAUCAUUAACAUUAUUCUUUUACUUUUUGUGGGAUGUUGGGUUAUGUGGAGUCUUUUUGAUUCAACUAAUCCUCUUCUCACUUCAAACCCCAAACUAUGUGCACUGUGUUGUGCUUUUGUUGUAACGAAAGCACUUCUUUUUACUUACUAUUUAAACCCCUUUUAUUACUACUUCUAGACUGACUUUAAACAACUUGAUUCGUACACUUCAUACUGUACGAUGACCAAUCAUAAUACAACUCUUAGCAACGGAUAUCUAGGCUCUC